AGCGCAGGCGGGAAGACAAGUUGGAAGUGAAAUCUAUGGGCUCAACCCAUAAACUGCUUUCAAAACUGUUUUUCUCGAGUAGUGCAGAGGUAGGCGGAAUUCCCGGUGUAGCGGUGGAAUGCGUAGAUAUCGGGAGGAACACCAGUGGCGAAGGCGGCCUACUGGGCACCAACUGACGCUGAGGCUCGAAAGUGUGGGUAGCAAACA
This 207-nucleotide ribosomal RNA is filed under the name uncultured bacterium. RNAcentral describes it as "partial 16S ribosomal RNA". It matches the Rfam family "Bacterial small subunit ribosomal RNA", at positions 568 to 774 of the family's 1533-position model. The record is from RNAcentral.